CGGCCCCCCUCUUGCUGCGUUCGACCCGGCGCGAGCUCAACCAGCCCCGCUCCGGCCCGGAGACGGCCCUGCGGACCGCGGGAACAAACGCCAGACUGGUCCGGAUACAGAAACUUGUCAACUGAUGGGAACAAAGAACUGAGAGAUUUGGCUUUACCAGGACACUUAACGCAAUCUUAAAAAAAAAAAAAAAAUCAGGGUUCCACAGAACUUCUGCUGUGUAGUGGCUUUUCCUU
Molecule: non-coding RNA, 236 nt
Organism: Chelonoidis abingdonii (Abingdon island giant tortoise)
Lineage: Eukaryota; Metazoa; Chordata; Testudines; Testudinidae
Source: RefSeq, a predicted model, not a curated record